This 253-nucleotide ribosomal RNA is filed under the name uncultured bacterium. RNAcentral's name for it is "partial 16S ribosomal RNA". It matches the Rfam family "Bacterial small subunit ribosomal RNA", at positions 524 to 776 of the family's 1533-position model. The record is from RNAcentral.
UACAGAGGGUGCAAGCGUUAAUCGGAAUUACUGGGCGUAAAGCGUGCGUAGACGGUAGCGUAAGUCGGGUGUGAAGGCCCCGGGCUCAACCUGGGAAUGGCAUUCGAGACUGCUCUGCUGGGGUGCGGAAGAGGGGAGCGGAAUUUCCGGUGUAGCGGUGAAAUGCGUAGAUAUCGGAAGGAACACCAGUGGCGAAGGCGGCUACCUGGACAGAUACUGACACUGAGGCGCGAGAGCGUGGGGAGCAAACAGG